GACGAACGCUGGCGGCGUGCUUAACACAUGCAAGUCGAACGGAAAGGCCCUGCUUUUGUUGGGUGCUCGAGUGGCGAACGGGUGAGUAACACGUGAGUAACCUGCCCUUGACUUUGGGAUAACUUCAGGGAACUGGGGCUAAUACCGGAUAGGAGCUCCUGCUGCAUGUUGGGGGUUGGAAAGUUUCGGCUGUUGGGGAUGGACUCGCGGCUUAUCAGCUUGUUGGUGGGGUAGUGGCUUACCAAGGCUUUGACGGGUAGCCGGCCUGAGAGGGUGACCGGCCACAUUGGGACUGAGAUACGGCCCAGACUCCUACGGGAGGCAGCAGUGGGGAAUAUUGCACAAUGGGCGGAAGCCUGAUGCAGCAACGCCGCGUGCGGGAUGACGGCCUUCGGGUUGUAAACCGCUUUCGCCGGUGACGAAGCGUGAGUGACGGUAAUGGGUAAAGAAGCACCGGCUAACUACGUG
Molecule: ribosomal RNA, 468 nt
Filed under: uncultured bacterium
Lineage: Bacteria
Description: partial 16S ribosomal RNA
Rfam family: Bacterial small subunit ribosomal RNA
Source: RNAcentral